This 497-nucleotide ribosomal RNA is filed under the name uncultured bacterium. Its description in RNAcentral is "partial 16S ribosomal RNA". It matches the Rfam family "Bacterial small subunit ribosomal RNA", at positions 28 to 507 of the family's 1533-position model. The record is from RNAcentral.
GAUGAACGCUGGCUGCGUGCCUAAUACAUGCAAGUCGAGCGAACGGACGAGAAGCUUGCUUCUCUGAUGUUAGCGGCGGACGGGUGAGUAACACGUGGAUAACCUACCUAUAAGACUGGGAUAACUUCGGGAAACCGGAGCUAAUACCGGAUAAUAUUUUGAACCGCAUGGUUCAAAAGUGAAAGACGGUCUUGCUGUCACUUAUAGAUGGAUCCGCGCUGCAUUAGCUAGUUGGUAAGGUAACGGCUUACCAAGGCAACGAUGCAUAGCCGACCUGAGAGGGUGAUCGGCCACACUGGAACUGAGACACGGUCCAGACUCCUACGGGAGGCAGCAGUAGGGAAUCUUCCGCAAUGGGCGAAAGCCUGACGGAGCAACGCCGCGUGAGUGAUGAAGGUCUUCGGAUCGUAAAACUCUGUUAUUAGGGAAGAACAUAUGUGUAAGUAACUGUGCACAUCUUGACGGUACCUAAUCAGAAAGCCACGGCUAACUACGUG